This 519-nucleotide ribosomal RNA is filed under the name uncultured bacterium. Its description in RNAcentral is "partial 16S ribosomal RNA". It matches the Rfam family "Bacterial small subunit ribosomal RNA", at positions 355 to 883 of the family's 1533-position model. The record is from RNAcentral.
UGGGGAAUAUUGGACAAUGGGCGGAAGCCUGAUCCAGCAACGCCGCGUGAGGGAUGACGGCCUUCGGGUUGUAAACCUCUUUCAGUACCGACGAAGCGAAAGUGACGGUAGGUACAGAAGAAGGACCGGCCAACUACGUGCCAGCAGCCGCGGUAAUACGUAGGGUUCGAGCGUUGUCCGGAAUUAUUGGGCGUAAAGGGCUCGUAGGCGGUUUGUCGCGUCGGGAGUGAAAACAGCGGGCUUAACUCGUUGCUUGCUUUCGAUACGGGCAGACUAGAGGUAUGCAGGGGAGAAUGGAAUUCCUGGUGUAGCGGUGAAAUGCGCAGAUAUCAGGAGGAACACCGGUGGCGAAGGCGGUUCUCUGGGCAUUACCUGACGCUGAGGAGCGAAAGUGUGGGGAGCGAACAGGAUUAGAUACCCUGGUAGUCCACACCGUAAAACGUUGGGCGCUAGGUGUGGGGUCCUUUCCACGGAUUCCGUGCCGUAGCUAACGCAUUAAGCGCCCCGCCUGGGGAGUAC